RNAcentral lists this ribosomal RNA (447 nucleotides) under uncultured bacterium. RNAcentral describes it as "bacterial SSU rRNA". It matches the Rfam family "Bacterial small subunit ribosomal RNA", at positions 355 to 825 of the family's 1533-position model. The record is from RNAcentral.
UGGGGAAUCUUGGACAAUGGGCGCAAGCCUGAUCCAGCCAUGCCGCGUGGAUGAUGAAGGCCUUAGGGUUGUAAAAUCCUUUCGUGGGGGACGAUAAUGACGGUACCCCAAGAAGAAGCUCCGGCUAACUUCGUGCCAGCAGCCGCGGUAAUACGAAGGGGGCUAGCGUUGUUCGGAUUUACUGGGCGUAAAGCGCGUGUAGGCGGGUCGUUAAGUUGGGGGUGAAAUCCCGAGGCUCAACCUCGGAACUGCCUUCAAAACUGGCGACCUGGACUCAAGCAGAGGCAAGUGGAAUUGCGAGUGUAGAGGUGAAAUACGUAGAUAUUCGCAGGAACACCAGUGGCGAAGGCGACUUGCUGGGCUUGUAGUGACGCUGAGACGCGAAAGCGUGGGGAGCAAACAGGAUUAGAUACCCCUGUAGUCCCUGAGCGGGCUGGCAAGGCGCAU